UAGCGAUUCCGACUUCACGGAGUCGAGUUGCAGACUCCGAUCCGGACUACGACGCACUUUGUGAGGUCCGCUUGCUCUCGCGAGGUCGCUUCUCUUUGUAUGCGCCAUUGUAGCACGUGUGUAGCCCUGCUCGUAAGGGCCAUGAUGACUUGACGUCAUCCCCACCUUCCUCCGGUUUAUCACCGGCAGUCUCCUUUGAGUUCCCGACCGAAUCGCUGGCAACAAAGGAUAAGGGUUGCGCUCGUUGCGGGACUUAACCCAACAUUUCACAACACGAGCUGACGACAGCCAUGCAGCACCUGUCUCACGGUUCCCGAAGGCACUAAGGCAUCUCUGCCAAAUUCCGUGGAUGUCAAGAGCAGGUA
This 365-nucleotide ribosomal RNA is filed under the name uncultured Erwinia sp. RNAcentral describes it as "partial 16S ribosomal RNA". Lineage: Bacteria; Pseudomonadati; Pseudomonadota; Gammaproteobacteria; Enterobacterales; Erwiniaceae. The record is from RNAcentral.